Molecule: long non-coding RNA, 5555 nt
Filed under: Taeniopygia guttata (zebra finch)
Lineage: Eukaryota; Metazoa; Chordata; Aves; Passeriformes; Estrildidae
Description: lncRNA (ENSTGUG00000019983.1)
Source: RNAcentral
UUUUUUUUUUUUUUUUCAGAGAGCAGGGUUCAUUUGUUUUGUGCAAGCAGAGAAAUGAACAACAAAAAGCCAGAACUCUGACUCUGUGUUCAUAGCAGUACUGGCAUGUCUGUAGCAUCACCAUCUUUUCUGUGGAGAUGGCAGUGUUUGGAAGCAUUCUCUUACAGCAACUCAGUAAUAAUUAUUAGCUAGAAAUCAUGGGGUCCCUCUGGCAGAAGGAGGAAGUAUUCACUUUCUCGUGUAGUAGUUAGCUAAAACCUGACCUUUUGAUCAUCGUUUGACCAAAAAGGAUAAAAUCAGUCAUAAAACUAAUAUAUAUUCCCAAAUCAAAAUGUGUUUCUUAGCUGGCAACUUUUUCUGCACUGCAGUAACAGCUUUCAACACACUUGAUGUAAAUUUUACACGUUGCAAUUUGGUCUGUGGAGUUCUAAUUAUUGUACAUGAGGUGACAUUGAUUUUAGGCUUCUAUUUCUCUUUUGCUGUUUUUCUAAGUCACCUGCUAUGGUACCUGAAUCUACACACACAAAAUUAAGUGUCACAGCCAUGGCGGUGUCAUUGUUACUGCCUCUGGGCGUCCCUCCUUUGAUGUUUAGAGAGCCUGCAGAGCCCAGGCUCCUGGCUAAGCGUCGGAAGGAAGCUGCUUAAUGCAGGCUGAAUAGCCUUUUGCUGCCUCUCGUCAUCAUUUGCAAGGCUUUCUUAAAGUCACAUAUUUACUUAACAACGACGUUUUUAGAGGAAUCUUUAGCCAGGACCCAAUGGAACUCGGAUUGGGAAUGUCCCUGAGUACCUUGACUUAAAUACAUUGUAGUUUUAUGUGGAUAUAAAGGACAGUUGUAGUGGUAGUUUGGGGAUGUCUGUCUCUCUGGUUGUCUGCUCUGUGAAGCUGUUUGCACUGCACUGGCUCAGAACAAGAAAUAUGACAGUGGGUGUAAUGAAAACAUUGGGAGCUCUCAUUAGGGCUGGCUGACCUUUCCAUCUGAGCUGUGGGUCUGCAGCAGGUUCCAUUAGAAGAAAAUGUCCAAAGAACUGUUUAAAGUAAGUGGUCACUUAUUUUAAGUGACAGCAGUAUCAGCAACAGUAUCCCUCUGCUUCAUAGGCAGCCUCACACAAAUACUUCCCAGUCCAUAAAAAAGUAGUUUUUCAGGAUCACAGAAAUACCAAAACUGGCACAAGCAAAAUAAUUUUCCACUAUGUUGAAAAAUUCACAUGCUUUACCUAGCCUUAACUUAAUCAAAAUAUAGACAUACCAAGUGGAUAAUUUGACCUUGGCUUUUGAAAAUUUUUGGAUGACCCUAAAGAAAGCUUGCGCCAGAGAAGAUAGACCAGACAAUCAAAUUUAUCUAAACUGAGCUUUUGAAUUACAUUUAUUAGUACUGUGCUUGUUGAAGAGCUGAAUUUUUAUCGCCCUUCCCUGGAACAAGUUGUUAUUUCUGGCAUCAAAACCAGUGUUAUCAUCAAUGUCUGAUCACUUUCUGUGUGUGGCAACCCCAUUCCUCUUCUUGUGGUCUACCACAAACACUGCUCUACUGAGAGAUGUUGGGGAGGGCAGGACUUGGUGCGCAGUUGUAACAGCAGAGACUCCCCCUCAAGGAGCUUCUGAUUAAGAUCUUGAGGCAAAGUGCUGUUUAAUUUAAGGAAAGAUAAUACCCAGAGGUGAUAUAUUCAGUCACAGCUUAAUUGAAAUCAAAGAGCAGGCAAAAAAGUGAGGGAGACAGCAGACAAAAGGUUAAGCAGAGCACCUUGUAUCACAUGUUCAGCUGACGAUUAGCUGUUGAUUGUGGAGCAUAAGCCAAAAAUCAAGUUUUAUUGUGUGCCCUACAGUGAUUUCUGUGUUCAAAAUGAAAUCAGUAAAGCAGGCACUUGUUUAUCUCCAUAAGUUGUUGCAGCAUGUGUGACAAGAAAAUAAAGAAGUCAUGAAAUAUUAUUAGUGCUUUCUUUUUAUUGAUUACUGUGUUUCUUUAGCUGCAGGAAAUACUGGGGAAAAUUUAUGUCUCCAACCUUUAGUUUAAAAAUUAGUGUAAUUGUUAAGCUGUGGAAUUAUGAACAUCUGCUUGUCAAACAGUUACAGAAAGACAACAUUUACAAAAAACACCUAAUAUUCUGCCUACAUCAGGACACUUUCACACAAUAACAAGAGCUGAUUGGUAAGAGUAAUAAACUGCUUUAAAAGGGGAAUGUAGAUGACAGUAAACAAGAACUGUUGAAACAGGCAGUGCAAGGCACUAUUAAUAAGGGUGUUUCAAAGAGAUCUGCAGUAAAUACAGGGUUUUUUUUAAUAACAUGAUGUUUACAAGUUCCUCUCACUUUUUACUCCUGAGUCUAUCACAGUAAUUCCACUGGCUUAGAUGGCACAGUAAUCAAGUCAAGCCUGAUGAGAGUUAGAUUUCUAUUUUAAAUCACGCUCACUUCAUCCUCCUAGUCCAAUAAACAAUAUGUUUUCUCCACAGAAUGCUAUGCUAUUCUUUCAGAACAGUUAAAUAGUGGGGGCAAUUGCUUUUCAAAUAAGUUAUUGGUUUACAUCAGCCUUUGUGGGUGACAUUUUAUCUGUCCAUAAAUUUUUAAGCUGCCAUUACAGUGCUGUUGUAUCUUAAGGGGAGUAAUGCCUAACUUUGCCCCAUCCAAAGUAUCUUCCCUUUGCAUGAUCUCUGUCUGCCCAGAUGCAGAAGAAACUAUUUAAAAGAAAGUAUUUUUAAAGGUUUUUUUUUGUUUAUGGUAAGAUAUUUCUGUUCCUAAGGCAUCUUUUAUCAGAUGAUUAGCAUCAAAGCAUUUUGUAAGCCUUGAUUCUUUAGCUUUCUCAGUAGUCUCAAGGUAUUUUGAGAGAAAGUUUUGCAUAGCUCAGAGUUGAAAUGUGCUUCUUAACAGCACAGAGCAAGGUGACACAACAGCUUGGGCCAGAACUACAAAGACAGGUGAUGGUUGGCUAAAACUGUGAGAGGAAGCUGAUGUGGAGAAUGGAAUACAUGAGUGCUUCACAAGCAAUUGAGACGUCCCUCUCUUUCACCUUCAUCUCAUUUUGUCCUCAAGGCUCUGGAGGAAAUAAAGAUCUGGCCACUGAGCAGAGAUUGCAGAAAACAUUGAGCUUGAAAAUGGAGGUGUAGAUAGAGAAGCAAUGCUGAGUCUAAGGUCAGAGCCAUCUUAUGGGAUUGGACUGCUCUGUCAAGGCCAGCAGAUGCGUUGGAUGAGCAGCACCACAGCUGGGAUGUGUGGUCCUUGAAAGUCCUCCAUGUAGCUGAGAACUUGGAAAUUCAACAGCACACAGGAGAACUGCUGAGGAUCUGGUAAGGCAAGCCAGCCAGGAAGGGAAAAAGCAGGUGACCAUCCUUUGUCAAAAAGGAUGUGGCCAACAAAGCCAUCCAGUUCUGGCAAUUACCUGUUUCUACUGGUACAGUAGUGCUGAAAAAGUUAUUCAGUGUUAGCUAUAAGUUCCCUGGGAUGAUUACACAUGCUCUCUAUUUCACAUUAAGAAAUGGUCAAAAGAAUGUUGGAGUUUUCACUGUAGAAAAAUUGAAUGAGUGCCCAGUCUUUGCAAGAAAGAAUGGACAGAUAUGACCUUAGGUGUAAGAAAUACCAUCCAGUGAAUCACCUGUUCCUGAUUUUCAGAAGUGUUUAGCACCUCCACCAGGGAUAAUGGUUUAAAGAGCUCUGUAGAGUGGCUUGGUACUCUUUGGGAAAAAUCUAUUCCCCUAGCAUCAUGAAGAGAUGUGCACAGGAUGAGCUGGCAGAACAUGCUCUGACUUACUACAACACAGACAUGUGUCUCAGUCUUCAGUAACUAGCUGUCAGUCCUUAAAGAUUAUACUGAAAUGGAAAAGGGCAUGAAGCCUGGGAAAAUAAUGGCCAAAUUUGUUUAACAUACUUUACAACAAUGGUUCUGCCACAAAAUUUUAAGUAACUCUUGUUCAUUAGAGGCUGAGUCUCUGCAUCCAGUGCUGUAGAAGCCUGAAGGAAUCACACAGAAUUUGUCUAAUUGGCAUCAUGGAUGAAGGCUGCUGAAGCAUGGGGAACGACCUGAUCUUCUGCACCAGUAAUGAUCUUAUUGCCAUAGUUACAGUUGUCUGACUCUCCCACUCCCUGCAAGGCAACAAAUCACAUUAAGAAUAUUUGCAAAACCUUGAAAGUCUCACCUAGGGUACAAGUAGUUGAACAGCUGCCUUAAAAGCUAGUUCUGCUUAUAGUCACGCCCAAUCCUGCUUCAGCUGUGGGGGAAGCCCUCAUUAAAAAAUUAAACAUCUGUACACUCCUUAAUCCAGGCACUGGCACCCCAGGGACUCCUUCAGCUUUGUGGAUGCUGAGCAGGCUGAGCCCUAUGGAGAGCUAUGAGGUCAAGUAGAAGUUUCUCAUGAGCCAUCCUGCCUAGAGAAGGAAAUUAGUAUCAUUCUUGCAAACCUGUUCAGAUCAGGAGCCAAGUUUAGGACAGGGGCACUGAGAUGUGAGUGAGUUGGUGUUGACUGGUCUUGGCAAGGCUGAAAUGUCUUUUCUUUCCAUGAGAUGAGAGCGUUGAUUCCAACCCCCACUAAAUUUAAGCUAUCUUUCAUUUCCUUUCAUGAAGCUAGCAAGGACACUUACCAUUCUUGUCUAAAGAGCCUCAAUUCUUAUUCUCUGAAUUAAAGAAUUGAAGUCUCAAAGGAAUAUGGUUACUAACCCACUAUGGCACUUUUAAUGCAAGGGCAUAUUCCAACCCUUAAGAUUUGUAUCCUUUUUUUUUUUUUUUUUUUCCCUCUUCAUCUUUUUGUUAGUAAGCAACAGUAGCUUCUUUUUCUACUUUUUCCAUUUUCAGCCCCUCUUGUCUCUCUGGUCGGGGUGGUAAGCAGGGUGCCUGACUGAGUCAGGUGCCUCACAGGUAUUAAGAUGAAUUUUCCUUUCCAAAGCACUUUGUCUCCAUUUCCUGGCUUGUUAGGAUCUGUGUGGUGGUUUGGGUAGUUUCAGCAUACUCUGUAAUCCACUGUCUGCCUUUUUCCAUGGAAAAUGUGAGGAUGUCAUUGUCAGGCAUGCACAGCAACUAAACUGCUGGGCAUUCUUGCAUGUAUCAUCUCCUUAUUUUGUAAGCUGACUUGAUAAAUUAAGAAUUGGUUUCACACAAACCAAGGCAUCAUUUAGUACAAUUAAUGGGAUGGACAAAGGGUCUUUUUGUCAAGCACACUGUCUUUUUGUUCAUCUGCCAUCUCCUUUUACGGGCUCAUUUAAGGUGAGCCUGAAAAGCGUUCAAGGUUUCAGGCGAAGCAUCCAUUUGAAUCUUUUAAUUGAGAUCAGGAGAGCAGAAGCAGCAAGCAAACUUGAAACUCUGGAAAGGGGAAAAAUAUGUCAAUGGGUCUGAGACAAACCUUGUUGCAAAGCCUUGUUGCAUAGGUUUGGAGAGAGGCAGGGCACAUCUUUUUCUCGCAAUCUGCUGUGACUUUUGUGAUUGAGUCAGUAAGCCUCUCCCUUCUUCUCAAGCACAGAGUUUCCCUUCUGGACCAUUGCUUUGCAGGACUCUGAGGGCACAGUAGCUUACAGAGGGGAUUUUUUUCAGUAUCUCAUGGGAAAUGUAGUCCACUUAGAAGCCCUCAACUUAGAGA